CUCUGUGACUCCGUACGGGAGGCAGCAGUGGGGAAUAUUGCACAAGUGGGGGAAACCCUGAUGCAGCCAUGCCGCGUGUGUGAAGAAGGCCUUCGGGUUGUAAAGCACUUUCAGUAGGGAGGAAGGUAGUGUAGUUAACACCUGCAUUAUUUGACGUUACCUACAGAAGAAGCACCGGCUAACUCCGUGCCAGCAGCCGCGGUAAUACGGAGGGUGCGAGCGUUAAUCGGAAUUACUGGGCGUAAAGCGCAUGCAGGCGGCCUGUUAAGUCAGAUGUGAAAGCCCCGGGGCUUAACCUCGGAAUUGCAUUUGAAACUGGCAGGCUAGAGUCUUGUAGAGGGGGUAGAAUUUCAGGUGUAGCGGUGAAAUGCGUAGAGAUCUGAAGGAAUACCAGUGGCGAAGGCGGCCCCCUGGACAAAGACUGACGCUCAGAUGCGAAAGCGUGGGGAGCAAACAGGAUUAGAUACCCUGGUAG
RNAcentral lists this ribosomal RNA (475 nucleotides) under uncultured bacterium. RNAcentral describes it as "bacterial SSU rRNA". It matches the Rfam family "Bacterial small subunit ribosomal RNA", at positions 328 to 793 of the family's 1533-position model. The record is from RNAcentral.